AACGAACGCUGGCGGCAGGCUUAACACAUGCAAGUCGAACGCACCUUUCGGGGUGAGUGGCCGACGGGUGAGUAACGCGUGGGAAUCUACCCUUCUCUACGGGAUAGCUCCGGGAAACUGGAAUUAAUACCGUAUACGUCCUGAGGGAGAAAGAUUUAUCGGGGAAGGAUGAGCCCGCGUUGGAUUAGCUAGUUGGUGGGGUAAAGGCCUACCAAGGCGACGAUCCAUAGCUGGUCUAAGAGGAUGAUCAGCCACAUUGGGACUGAGACACGGCCCAAACUCCUACGGGAGGCAGCAGUGGGGAGUAUUGGACAAUGGGCGCAAGCCUGAUCCAGCCAUGCCGCGUGAGUGAUGAAGGCCCUAGGGUUGUAAAGCUCUUUCAGUGGGGACGAUAAUGACGGUACCCACAGAAGAAGCCCCGGCUAACUUCGUG
This 433-nucleotide ribosomal RNA is filed under the name uncultured bacterium. RNAcentral's name for it is "partial 16S ribosomal RNA". It matches the Rfam family "Bacterial small subunit ribosomal RNA", at positions 29 to 507 of the family's 1533-position model. The record is from RNAcentral.